This 721-nucleotide long non-coding RNA is filed under the name Mytilus galloprovincialis (Mediterranean mussel). Lineage: Eukaryota; Metazoa; Mollusca; Bivalvia; Mytilida; Mytilidae. The record is from RNAcentral.
AUUUUUACAAUAAUUUAAGGACACAAUCAAAGGGGUUAUAUCUGUGGUGAAAUUUUAUAUUCUAGAAGGGAAGGGAACUUUUCAUUUUUGAAUUACAUAAGUCCCAACUCUAAUUAUUUGCAUCAUUUUAGAUGCGCCUAUCACUUUUGCAAUUAUAGGAAGGGCUUUUACUUGAGAAUCAUUACUGCCCUUUUUUCUUUAAAGCAAAUGUUAUCCCCUAUGAGACUUAACAUACUGUCCAACAUGUACAAUAAAAAGAAAUUAUGUGAAGUAAAGGAUAUUGUAUCAUUAUAACCUCCUUGGUGUAACCAUAGAUGUAAUAUCUAUGGUGUAACAAAGUAACAGCACAAGAGAUGUUUUUUGGUAAGCGGAAAGUAAAUUUGUUGGUGUAACUCACUCACAUUGAUUGGGUUUUUUUGGGGGUUUUCUUCCAGAAUAUCAAAUGCCUCAUAUGGUCAAUUUUUUUUUCUCUAAUUUUUAGAUGAAUUUAAUUUCCUUUAUUUUAUUCUGAUUGGGUUUUUUUGUUUCUUUUUUUGUUUUUCCUGAUUCUAAGAUGCCACAUGUGGUCAUUUCUUUUUUUCACUAAUUUUCAAAUAAAUUUAAUUUUCUUUACUUUUUUUCUUAAAUCUUCUUGGUUCUGUUCACAGGUGGGUCUUCAUCAGUAAAACAACUAUAGGUAAUGAAGCUGAUAUUUCUGGUUUAGAUUUUUCUAAAAUCAUUC